CGAUUCCACGAUUUAAUUUACUUGUUCUUGUUUAACAGCUUGUAUACCUCCGUCAUAAGAGUGUCUUUUUAGAGUAAAUUCUCUUUUUUUUGUUAAUUAUAAAAAUGUCAGGUCAAGGUGCAGCUUAUGAACAAGAGGUGAUGGGUUACAAUAAUAUUAUUUAUAUGGAUAUAUCUUAGGGUUGUAUUGAUAUUGAAGGUGGAUUUGAAGGUAAAAUUAUCUAUUAGAUUUUUUGAUUUUGGCUCUAGAAUAUGCACACAUCGCCCG
This 267-nucleotide ribosomal RNA is filed under the name Trineuragroin percostale. RNAcentral's name for it is "partial 12S ribosomal RNA". Lineage: Eukaryota; Metazoa; Arthropoda; Insecta; Odonata; Megapodagrionidae. The record is from RNAcentral.